GAUGAACGCUGGCGGCGUGCCUAAUACAUGCAAGUCGAGCGAACAGAUAAGGAGCUUGCUCCUUUGACGUUAGCGGCGGACGGGUGAGUAACACGUGGGUAACCUACCUAUAAGACUGGGAUAACUUCGGGAAACCGGAGCUAAUACCGGAUAACAUUUGGAACCGCAUGGUUCUAAAGUGAAAGAUGGUUUUGCUAUCACUUAUAGAUGGACCCGCGCCGUAUUAGCUAGUUGGUAAGGUAACGGCUUACCAAGGCAACGAUACGUAGCCGACCUGAGAGGGUGAUCGGCCACACUGGAAUUGAGACACGGUCCAGACUCCUACGGGAGGCAGCAGUAGGGAAUCUUCCGCAAUGGGCGAAAGCCUGACGGAGCAACGCCGCGUGAGUGAUGAAGGGUUUCGGCUCGUAAAACUCUGUUAUUAGGGAAGAACAAAUGUGUAAGUAACUGUGCACGUCUUGACGGUACCUAAUCAGAAAGCCACGGCUAACUACGUG
Molecule: ribosomal RNA, 497 nt
Filed under: uncultured bacterium
Lineage: Bacteria
Description: partial 16S ribosomal RNA
Rfam family: Bacterial small subunit ribosomal RNA
Source: RNAcentral